This 483-nucleotide ribosomal RNA is filed under the name Starmerella bacillaris. RNAcentral's name for it is "eukaryotic LSU rRNA". It matches the Rfam family "Eukaryotic large subunit ribosomal RNA", at positions 47 to 555 of the family's 3401-position model. Lineage: Eukaryota; Fungi; Ascomycota; Dipodascomycetes; Dipodascales; Trichomonascaceae. The record is from RNAcentral.
UAAGCGGAGGAAAAGAAACCAACAGGGAUUGCCCUAGUAACGGCGAGUGAACAGGCAAGAGCUCAGAUUUGAAAGGCACUUUUGUGCCGUUGUAUUCUGAAGUUAGGGUCCUGAGAAACGAUGCUUAAGUCUUCUGGAAAGGAGCGCCAUGGAGGGUGAUAGCCCCGUCUAGCAUUGACCUCAUAUAGGAUCUUAACAUGGAGUCGAGUUGUUUGGGAAUGCAGCUCAAAUGGGUGGUAUGCUCCAUCUAAAGCUAAAUAUCUGCGAGAGACCGAUAGUAAACAAGUACUGUGAGGGAAAGAUGAAAAGAACUUUGAAAAGAGAGUGAAAAAGUACGUGAAAUUGUUGAAAUGGAAGGGUAGGCCGCUAACCAUGUAGAGCCGUGUUUGGGGGGAAGAUAAAUGCUGUAGAAUGUAGCUCCUCGGAGUAUUAUAGAUGCAGUUCAUAUUCCCACCCGAGCGCGAGGAUCUCAGGUUCUACUAU